Molecule: long non-coding RNA, 658 nt
Organism: Carassius auratus (goldfish)
Lineage: Eukaryota; Metazoa; Chordata; Actinopteri; Cypriniformes; Cyprinidae
Exons: 3
Source: RefSeq, a predicted model, not a curated record
GGUCAGUGUCAGGGCGCUCCGAGGGGUCCAAGCUGAUCACUGCACGCACACACUCACGCUCAACCCUAGUGUUAUGCAUCAUUUUAAGCCAAAUAAGAAAGGGGAAACACUUUCCUGCAGUGUUGUUUUUGAGUGAACGGUGAGGAUUACCGGAGCGCUCCUGUCUCCAGAAAUCAGCGGUGUGUUUGAGUUUCUCGUCCGGGAUGGCCUUAUCCCGUCAGGACUACAUGGCACCAUGGUGGACCUACUGGGUGCAUAAUUUCCCGCAUCUUAAUUUUAAUUUCCAGACAGUUGAUAAAACAUUUCAACCGGAGGACGCCAGCUAUCAGCAGUUCAGCGGUGGGCGUGGGUUUCUAUGGAAACAGCUAAACCAGUGAUGGAGUUUACCAGUUGACUUACUCCAUUCAUAAAGCCAAUCACACACUGGGUGGCAUUGGCCGUCUGUUGGGAAACUCUUGGGUAGUAUGCAGGUUGGGCUGAAAGAACACCUGGAGUGGUUGGAUGAGAGAUUUUCUCCACACGGAAACUACACCCAAGCCUUGCGCUCCAUGCAGCAGAUGGCCAACAACGUUAUUCAGCAGCUGACAGCCAUGCCACACACAAGGAAGGUGCAAGUGGAUUUGACAGUAAUCAUGGAUAAAACUUCAUUCGUAGAGUA